UCAUGGUUCAAUGCUGGUCUGUUCACUGAAUACUUUUCCCUUUAAGAAGGUUGUUCAUGUUUGGGCUACAAAUUAAUAUGUUAAUUAUUUCAUUCUUUAUUUACCAUUAUUCCAGAUAUGAUCAGCCACCUUACGGCAUUUCAUUCAACCCCAUCCCCUCUAAAAAGAUGGUCAGAUGGUCCUGGUGCCUGAUGAGUUUCCUACCUGAUGGCAUCCUUGAAAAACACAGCAAACUGACCAACAUAACUAGAGCUUUUAGAAUUGUAAUAGUAGAAAGUCCACUAGCAGUCUCUCCAUAGCAGGAGUAGUACAAAGAAAAUUCCUAAAUAGUAAAACAAGGAUGCUGGGGAAUACUUUGAAUACACUCAAUGCAUCGCAGCUUAUUCUACAUUUCAAGAAGAGAAUGGAAAGGAUUCCAGUUUUACUUCAGCAUGGGAACAUCUCCAAACAAUAGAUGCUUAAUGUGUUUUGAUAAGUAAAAACAGAAACAACGCUGCCUUGAUUUCACCUGGACUCCCUAACCACGCGCUGCCACUUACGCAUUCUAUCCCUUCCUCUGGUCCACUUCUGAUGACGUCAUGAUUCCCAUACGCCACCUCGGUUCCUUCCCAGCAUUCCAUCUGCCUGUUUCCGGUCCCACUCCAUAAAUUGUUCCCUUCCACCAUUUUCAUUUGUCUGUUGUAACGCUGGAAAGCAAUAUCACUGACCUGAUUUCAAAACUGUACAGUAUACGGGGCCGGAAAACCCCAAAUCUUUAUGAUCUUGUUGUCUCUUUAUUACACUAUCCAAAACAGUUGGGAACUGAAGACAUCUCCACAGCAUUAUAAAGAAAUGUCACUGACAAAUAAUGUUACAGGCACUAGUCAGAGGGUCUUUAUUGUAUGCAGAGAACUAAAUGGCUUCAACAUGGGAAGAAAAAAUCCAAAGUACAGUGUGUGAGAAAGCCUAUUGCUAGCAGCAUCAGAAAGCCCUCUUGUCCUACAUACACAGACACAAUCAUAACUCCUAACGAUCCUAACAAUUGCCAUGGAGUUCAUUUUAACUAGGCAACAUUUGAUGACCCUGAAAUGGUAUUUUUCAUUCCUAACCCUUUGUUCUUUGUUUGACUUCAGUAAGAGCAAAUGUCACUAGGAAAUUAACUGUAGUUUCUUGGGUUUCUGUAUAAGUAACAUUCUCUCAGUCACAUAGGCACAGUAAAGGAUCUAAAGAUCAGAAGAUUCUGUGCCAACUCAUAAUAAAGAAAUGCACUCAAGAAAUUCAAAUGAAUACAAUCAUUUGCUUUUCGGUUGUUUAAUUGGAAAAAGUAAUGUAUUUCCCAAGUUAAUUAUCUCAGUGCAAUAACUCAUUCACAGGCAGAAAUUAUUAGCAGCAUUAUGUUGCUUUUAGUGUCAAGAAUAUCUCUACCCCUUAUGUAUUUUAAGAGAGCAUUCAUAUGGUUCUAUUAUAUUCAAAAAUCAGACUCCAAAAGCCUCUAACUGAAAUCAGAUAAGAACCAUUUUUUUUCUGUAAAGUCAUCCCCAGGUUAGCAGUAAUGCUCUUAAAUUCAAAAAUCAAAGACAAACGUUAAUAGGUGAAGGGCACAUAAUGAGCUUUUGGAACAAAGCAGAUUAUCCUGUGCAAAUCAGAACACAUUUCUUAAUUAAAUGGUUUCUUUGAGAUGUCUUUAGGGAGUAGUCUCUAGUCACACUGCCCCAUUAUGUUUUGAUGUCAGUGACACCUCUCAAAUUAUAAAAACUAUCUCAGAACCUUUAUAAGAUUUUGAGUGUAGCAUUCAUACUCUUUCUACAGGGACUCUCAAAAAUGUGAAUAAUACCUAUUAACAUAUUUAUAGUGGAUGCAAUCAUGAAUUUGCUUUUAAGUAGCAGGGUCUGCACUAAACAAAUGUUACUUUCCCUUAUAUUAGGGCUCCAUCUAACUUAACCUCAGUCCCAGAACCAGAAGGAGCUAAUGAAUCCCAUAAUGAGAGAGACACUUCUUGGUUGCAGCCCUGCUACUGUUUGUACUGCUGUGAAUAACAGUAAUGAGCUCGGUCCUCGUAUUCAUAUACAGUGCCCUCCAUAAUGUUUGGGGCAAAGAUACAUUUUUGCUUCAUUUACCCCUCUCCUCCACAGUUUAAAAUUACAAAUCAAACAAUUCAGACAUAAUUAAAGUGCACAUUGCAGACAUUAAUUUAAAAGUAUGUGCGUACAUUUCAGUCACACUACAUAGAAAUAAUAAGAUGUUUCUUUAUACAUCAGAAUUCUUCGUGCAACUGCUGUCAACAGUUACAUCAUUAAUUAAGAUAAGUGUGCAAGUACUGGGGACAGUCAUAUACGCCCAAGGCAUGUCAACCCAACCACCACCGUGUUUAAAAGAUGAUUUAGUGUGGAUCUUGAACAGUUCCUUUUCAUCUCUUUGCUCUGCUUUUUGCCAUCACUCUGAUACAGAUUAAUGUUUGUCUUCUCUGCCUACAAGACCUUUUUACUGAAUUCUGCAGGCUCUUUUAAGCACCUUUUUUUUGCAAACUAGAAUCUGGCCAUCCUGUCUUUGUGGCUACCUAGUGGUUUGCACCUUGCAUUGUGGCCUCUGCAUUUCUGUUCACGAAGUCUUCUGUGCAUAGUGGUCUCUGCCAAAUCCACAGCUGCCUCCUGAAGACUGUGUAUGAUCUGUCGGACAGGUGUUUGGGGCUUUUUCUUUACCAUAGUUAGGAUUCUUCUGUGUUCAGCAUUGGAGGUCUUCCUUGGCCUGCCAGCCCCUUUGUAAUUACUGAGCUCACCAGUGCA
Molecule: long non-coding RNA, 2762 nt
Organism: Polypterus senegalus (gray bichir)
Lineage: Eukaryota; Metazoa; Chordata; Cladistia; Polypteriformes; Polypteridae
Exons: 3
Source: RefSeq, a predicted model, not a curated record